This 301-nucleotide ribosomal RNA is filed under the name uncultured bacterium. RNAcentral's name for it is "partial 16S ribosomal RNA". It matches the Rfam family "Bacterial small subunit ribosomal RNA", at positions 509 to 809 of the family's 1533-position model. The record is from RNAcentral.
CAGCCGCCACGGGAAUACAGAGGGUGCGAGCGUUAAUCGGAUUUACUGGGCGUAAAGCGUGCGUAGGCGGCUUCUUAAGUCGGAUGUGAAAUCCCUGAGCUUAACUUAGGAAUUGCAUUCGAUACUGGGAAGCUAGAGUAUGGGAGAGGAUGGUAGAAUUCCAGGUGUAGCGGUGAAAUGCGUAGAGAUCUGGAGGAAUACCGAUGGCGAAGGCAGCCAUCUGGCCUAAUACUGACGCUGAGGUACGAAAGCAUGGGGAGCAAACAGGAUUAGAUACCUCUGUAGUCCCUGUCUCUUAUAA